Molecule: unclassified non-coding RNA, 429 nt
Filed under: Hevea brasiliensis (rubber tree)
Lineage: Eukaryota; Viridiplantae; Streptophyta; Magnoliopsida; Malpighiales; Euphorbiaceae
Source: RNAcentral
GCCUCUGAGUUCAUAAAUAUGGUUGAAAACAACACCAGUGCUGUGAGCCACAUCUGAGAAGUAAACGUAAACCUUCCCCCCCAAAACACAGGUCUUAGCGUGCUCCACAGUAUUCUCCCACAUCCUAUUGGACAUUCCACUUCCAAGUAUAUUUCUCAAUUUCUGUGGAUCCCGCAUAAGAAGCCGAAGAAAAUCUUCAACUGUUACAAUUUUAGCCUUUACCAGUUUUUUGUGGAGUGCUCCAUCCUUUGCUAUUCUGUCCAAUCUCCAAACUUCAUCAUUUAAUGCAGGUGGAUAGUGCUUCUUGUAUAAUUCUCCUCGGUGAUCUUUAACAGCAAAUGCCUCUGUUUUAGCCUCACGAACACGAACACCUUCACAAGAUCCAGAAGCAACCUUAACACCAAGCCUGAACUUUCUGCUCCUUAUCCA